UACGUAGGGGGCUAGCGUUGUCCGGAAUCAUUGGGCGUAAAGAGCGUGUAGGCGGUCCGGUAAGUCCGCUGUGAAAGUCGGGGGCUCAACCCUCGAAUGCCGGUGGAUACUGUCGGGCUAGAGUGCGGAAGAGGCGAGUGGAAUUCCUGGUGUAGCGGUGAAAUGCGCAGAUAUCAGGAGGAGCACCUAUUGCGAAGGCAGCUCGCUGGGACGUAACUGACGCUGAGACGCGAAAGCGUGGGGAGCAAACAGG
This 253-nucleotide ribosomal RNA is filed under the name uncultured bacterium. Its description in RNAcentral is "partial 16S ribosomal RNA". It matches the Rfam family "Bacterial small subunit ribosomal RNA", at positions 524 to 776 of the family's 1533-position model. The record is from RNAcentral.